GUUCAGGAUGAAUUGUUUUAAAGAGUCCCUAAAGCUAUACUCACCCUUGUUGAGCUCCCUGUUCCCCUUGGGCAUGGAUGGGAAAUUCAGGGGUAUCAGGUGCAUUUCCUCAUUUUCUGGUUAUUCUAAGACCUCUGGGCCCUAACUGCCCCUGGAGCACUGUUCCAAACCUGGAGGCGGCUAAAUGAAUGAUCAUUUAAUAGAAUUAAAAAAAAAAAAAACCCUAUCAGGGUAUAUUAACUCACUUUAUAGUCCUUUUGGUAGGAGAGGGAGAGACUAUGGUGAUUUCCUAAAUGCCAGCUAGUUAAGUCCCUCUACCUCCUCCCUCUGGACUUAAGAAAGCCUCCCUGCAUCCAUGUAUUUCUCCUCUAUCAUAGUUUGCUACAUUUUUUGCGGCUGCUCAUGGCUGGUGGCACCACACUUGACCUUAGGAACGCCAAGUGGAAGAGCCUGACGAUGAGACUGAGACUAGGUCGCCAAUUUGAACUGAACUUGGUUUUUCCUCCUCCAACCAGAAUGGCAUGACUCAGGUAUAAAAUCUCUCCUCUCAGAGACUCUGGCGGUCUGGAAACUAUAAAAAGAAAAAACAAAAUCAGUAAAUUCAAGAGAGAAAUGAAAAGAGCAAGAAAACUGUAGGAAGAGAGGGAAAGAAAAAAGGAAAAUACUUGUACACAAAAUUGGAAGGGUGUUUGGAACCCCGCCUCAAUUUCUAACAACUGAAGCUAAGGCUUGUUGGUCUCCACUGGGUUCCUCCACUGGUCUCUCCAACCCAAUUCCCUUGUUCAGGAUCUGUGGAGUUCUUUGCCUGGGAAAGGCACAUUCACAUGGUCUGGUCUAUGGCAGGGCUUUACCUACUGGCGGUGGGUAGGGAAAGGUGGUGGUGGCAGCAGAGAGGGAGGUGAGAAAAGCCCUGGGAGGUGUGGCCACGUCAGGUGGAGGCCCCUCCCCCACCCAUACGGAGGGGCCCAGCAUCCACCACCCCAGGGGAGCCUCUGGGCUCCAGGCCAUCCUGGGUGACUUAAGCCAGAGUGAUCUUAUUACAGUCAUUAGUGACCAGAAUGAUUUCUUAUGCCAAGAGCAAAAAGAAAUGGAUCCAAAUGAGAAAACUGGGACAGCUUGGGUUCUGCGAGAUGGCUGCGAGCUGGGGAUUACACCGAUGAUAAAGCCCAUAGCUGCUUCUUUGGCAUCCACUCCAUGUCAGGCAAAGUCAAGCACACAGGUAGGCUCUGAGCUCCAGAGUUUGCAGUUGUGCAGGGCUGGAAGGCACUUAUGGGUAACAAUUAGACUAUAAUGUGCUUAUGGGUUGGCAGAAAAUGGGAGACAUUCCUGGCGUACUUAAGAAGACUUACUACUCCCACUUCCUUCCCAGCGGUAGGUUUAAGGUAAGUCUCUCCGUUGCUGAUGAUGACCAACCCUGCCCCCAGAAUCCAUCAGGAGUUUGGACACAUCCACAGCUCCCAGAGAAGAUCCCGCUUGACCUCCCUGUCAGAGGCCAGUGCUUAGUGCAUUUCUGAGGCCAGGUGAAAACUGAGGAGGCAACGGAUCAGUGAGACCUGGACUGCGCCUGUCCAACCUGAGCAGCUGCCAUCUGUCAGGACCCCUUCGAGGGCAUGCAUUCAGCCAGCACCGCCAUUCAAUGCAGACCCAGAAAAAUCUCUCAAACUCGCAGACUUGGAGAGAGAGGAAGGUAGCCAGGCAACAGAAUUGCAGAAAACAUCCUCUAGGUCACAUGAACUUUAUUGUAGAUCAGGAAGUUAUCUAACAGCUGCCAAAAGUCUUUCUGACUCCAAAUGUUGACUGUUUCUCACACCUCACCAUUGGGUAUGGAGUCUGCUGCCUUGGGGGUUAUUCAGAUUUCCCAUUCCUUCUCAGACUCCAUCUACCCCCACCUGCCUGGUUGCAUUUGGAGAUGAUUUCCUUUUUUCCAUUCAUGAGACCAUGUGGCUUCCAUACUUACCUGGGCUGGCAGUUUCUCUACUCACCCUCCAAAUCUCUUGAGGAGGAAAAGCCCAGUUGAGGAAGGGUCAGAAAAAGGAAGCCAAGCCCGGAAGUGCAAGCAUACAUUAUCAUAUUCUUCUCAGGGUGCCUUUAGUUCAUUCCAGAAAAAAAGUGCAGCACAAUAAGUAAUUUUAAUGGGCGACCUCCCUUUCUUCCGCUAAUUCCCAGUCCUGAGCAAGGUUCACGAGCAAGAACCUAGUCUUCUGUGGCCUUGAAUGCCCCAAAGGGUCUGGUGGCGAUAUUGAGCACACAGUGUGGGAGCUGAGACAAUAGAUCCUGGUUGACAAAACGGUCGCUUCAAAGGAAAAGGGGCAAUUAUUUGAGAGCAAAUGUAAGCAAAGGCGCGCGCGCGCGCACACACACACGUGCGUGUAUUCCGUGCCUUUUCAAUUAAUUCCAGGCUCAUAUAUGAGACUACCUCGAGGAUCUGCUCCCAUUUCUCAGCCCAGCGCCCCAACACAAGCUGAUUCCUCCUGGAUAACAAGCACCUUGGCGUCGAGGGAGCCCACUCCAGCUGACGUUUGCAGAUAUUAGUUACUUCUGCCUCGUAGUGCUCCUUUCUUCACCCUCGACGGUCCAGAGCUGAGCUCACAAGACUGAGGCAGGCCCAGUCCAGAUGACCAGGAGCAGAAACCUUCCUGGGCCAAAGCACAGAAAGGUCAUCUCAGCGAAUUUACUUGGGGUAAAGGGGUGACUUGGGCCGUGUCCGAGUACCUGCGAUCAUGGGUGGGACCAGGAUGCUGAAGCGGCGCUCUUGUGCCCCCCACCCCGCCCCACCCUUCUCGAAUCUCUGGGUCAGCGGAGUGUAGAUGUUGACGUGCUUGAGCCCUGGGGCCUGACUACGGCUACUUAGAGGGGCCCUACUGUCACCCACCCAAGCGUAGUCAUACACCACGGUCAUCGCCCUGCUCUGUUGGCGCUAAUCUUCUCCUCGGCUAUUUGUAAUGAUCUGUGAGCGCAGAAACCAGCCGCGUGGUGCGCACCCCGGAAGCACUUGCCGAGACCCGGAAGCAGCGGGGCCUCGCCCGCCGCUCCUCUGGCUCGAGAGCCCUCCACGACCCGCCCACCUUGGAGGUACCCCAGUUUGGGAAGCAUGGCUCGCGCGAGAGCGGGUCCCGGGUUCACGCCACGAUCCUGCCCCGUGGUAGAGAGUUUCCGGUCUAUUGGUCUGUCGCUUACGGCGGGCCCAGACCUCCCCGUUCCCCGAGUGGAUUUAGGUCCCCCGUUAAGGUCCCCGUUGUGUCCGGCCGUGGGUCGAGGGAGGCACAGAGAAGGAGGAAUUUACAAUCAGCCCGUAAGUGACUGAUCAGCUCCCCAGAGAUCGGAGUGUAAAUUUACUAGGGAUCUUCGGUUGUGAUUCACAAUUCUGCAAGUAAUAAAAUGCCCACCCCUCCAA
Neofelis nebulosa (Clouded leopard) is the source of this 3394-nucleotide long non-coding RNA. RefSeq lists it as uncharacterized. The record is from RefSeq and is a predicted model, not a curated record. NCBI's taxonomy places the organism in Eukaryota, Metazoa, Chordata, Mammalia, Carnivora, Felidae. The transcript has 2 exons.